GCGCUCGUAGCUCAGUCGGAUAGAGCGAUUGCCUCCUAAGCAGUAGGCCGCAGGUUCGAUUCCUGCCGGGCGCACCA
This 77-nucleotide transfer RNA is filed under the name Desulfovibrio sp. RNAcentral's name for it is "tRNA-Arg". It matches the Rfam family "tRNA". From Rfam's summary of the family: Transfer RNA (tRNA) molecules are approximately 80 nucleotides in length. Their secondary structure includes four short double-helical elements and three loops (D, anti-codon, and T loops). Lineage: Bacteria; Pseudomonadati; Thermodesulfobacteriota; Desulfovibrionia; Desulfovibrionales; Desulfovibrionaceae. RNAcentral also lists the same sequence under 6 other names. The record is from RNAcentral.